GAAGGACAAUCCCACUCCGAUGUUUGGACAGCUUCAGACCAGACCCAGUGACCAGAUUGCCUUAAUUGGGGUCCUCUCCAAAGAAGACGCUGACCCAAGGGUUCAAGAGCAAGCACUUUGUUAAUGGAGGAACUCCCAGAAACCCAGGUGGUGGACACGAGAGAGGAAAAGCGAGGAAGCUAGGGAAGAUGUGCUCUCGGGCCAGUUUCUCAGACACAAAUCUGGGAUCCACGGCUUCAGAAAUAUCCCGCCGGAGGGCAGUCACAGAUGAAUGUGCAGCGGAGCGCCUCGUGCAUGUGGCCGUUAACUUCUACAAAACAUGUUACUAUUAAAAAUAUGAUCCUUUCCCAUGAUAUUUUCUAACUGGAUUUCUAAUUUCUAGAAAAGAUGAUACAAAUUCUUUUGGUUUCUCCAGGCAAACAAGUAAAUCAUCUGGGACCACUGGGUGGGUGAAUUUAUCCCAGUAUGACCGAAGACAACACACUAAACAAGUGACAAAGCAAAAUAUAACAGCUAUUCUUUUCUCUGCCCUUCUCACUCUAAAGCAGUCAAGCUCUUUCUGGCUCAGCGCCUCGCCCGUGGCCCAGAUCUGCACACCAAGGCCCAAGAACUAGCCGGCGAAGGUAAGGCCCUUA
This is a long non-coding RNA of Neogale vison (American mink), 635 nucleotides long. RefSeq lists it as uncharacterized. The transcript has 6 exons. Lineage: Eukaryota; Metazoa; Chordata; Mammalia; Carnivora; Mustelidae. The record is from RefSeq and is a predicted model, not a curated record.